Molecule: microRNA precursor, 84 nt
Filed under: Bombyx mori (domestic silkworm)
Lineage: Eukaryota; Metazoa; Arthropoda; Insecta; Lepidoptera; Bombycidae
Description: mir-2807 microRNA precursor family
Rfam family: mir-2807 microRNA precursor family
Source: Rfam by way of RNAcentral
UUAGCUCAUAUUUGUAUGGAAUGGGAUCGUUUGCGUACGUUUGCCGCUAGGGGUGCUGUUCCAACUGCAUACAAAAUUGGGUUA